This is an unclassified non-coding RNA of Erinaceus europaeus (western European hedgehog), 327 nucleotides long. Its record names the gene 7SK. It matches the Rfam family "7SK RNA". From Rfam's summary of the family: 7SK was discovered as an abundant small nuclear RNA in the mid-70s but a possible function has only recently been suggested. Two independent studies have found that 7SK RNA binds the CDK9/cyclin T complex (known as elongation factor P-TEFb). The record is from Ensembl. Lineage: Eukaryota; Metazoa; Chordata; Mammalia; Eulipotyphla; Erinaceidae.
GGAUGUGAGGGCGAUUUGGCUGUGACAUCUGUCACCCCAUUGAUCGCCAGGUUGAUUCAGCUGAUCUGAAUGGCUAGGCGGGUGUCCCCUUCCUCCCACACCACUCCAUGUGUGUCCCUCCCAAAGCUGUGUGUUCAGUCGAAGAGGACGGCCUUCCCCAAAUAGAGAUGGACCCGUCUUUGGUUGAGGGUAUACCAGUAGCUGCACUCCCCUGCUAGAACCUCCAAACAAGCUCUCAAGAAUAAAUAAAUAUAAUAUUUAAAGAAAGAAGUAUGUUCAUGUACCCAUAUUACUCAAGGACCGAAGUUCAUGCCCCUGGUCCCCUAC